UGGUCUUGAUCGCUUGACAUUGUGAUCUGCCUGCCUCGGCCUUCCAAGGUGUUGGGAUUGUGGGCGUGAAUCACUGUACCCGGCCUACUAAGUACCUUUUAAAUGCCAGACACUGUUGUGAUGCUGGGGAGUGAGCAGGGAACAAAAUAGAAAAUUCCCUGCCAUCUAGGAGCCAGCAUCUUAGUUGGGGAGACAGUCAGCAAACAUAUAAAAAAAGUAAAAUAUGUAAUCUCUUAAAUGGCAGUAAGAGCUACAGAGAAAAAUGAACGCAGGAAGUGGGCAGUGAGUGGUAGGAGUAGGUGGGUGGGCAGGAAAGGUCUCAGUAAGAACAGUUUAAGCAAAGACCUGGAUGAAGCCAGGCAAUGAGACCUGAGGUGUUCGGGAAAGAGCAUAGCAGGCAGAGAUACAGCAAGGGCAAAGGCCUUGAGGCCUGCCUUGGACAAGGAAAAAUAAAGAGGCCCGAGCAGAGUGUGCAAGGGGAGAAGCAAUAGGAGAUGAGGGCAGGGGGAUACAGCUGAGCAGUUUGGGCUCCAGAAAUACAAAAAAAAGGGGGACUCCUUAGGAUAGGUGGGCUACCUAAAAAAUCUUUAUGUAGGUUUUUGUUAGGCCCUGGGCUCCCUCUGACUGAUGACCUGGGUGACUUGUACUGACAUCCCCUUCCUCCUCUUGUAGGACCAUAGAGCGGUGAGAGGGUGGGGCUGGAGGACAGACCCUGCAGGGCCAUCAUGAUGGCUUCAGCUUUGAUGCUAAGUGAAAUGGAAAACCUUCUGCCCUGCUCAGUGCCCGCUAUCUCCUCCCCACACCCCAAGUCAGGAGUAGAGCUCUCUGCCUUGACCCCCAGCUCAAUUACUGGAAUUCUCCUUCCCCUGAUUCCAGCAGACACAGAUUCUCAACUAGGCUACAGGCUUCCCCAGAACAAAACCCCUGCCUAUUUACAUAUCACUGCAUGUCUGACUGGGGCUUGGCACCCAGUAGGGGCUUAGUAAAUACCCGGUGAAUGAAUGAGCAGUUAAGCAGAUCCUCAGAUCUCACAUUGGUCACCAGCUUUGUGACUCAGCUGCUCAGUCAAAGUCUAUGUCAGUUGGGUGCACAAAAUCAGUCCAUUAGUUAGUUGGAAUCAGCCAAAUAAUAAAGCUGUUGCUUGACUGAAUUUCUAAACUGGCCACAUGAAACCUGUGUGGUUACAGUCUCAGUCUCUAUGAGAACUUUGGGGCUGCAGCGUUACUGCACAGGUGUGUCCACCCCACUGCUUUCUGGUAAUGAUGGAGGUUUUUCCCGCCAUUUAUUAGUGAUGAAGGGUUUGUUGGAAAUAAUUGUAUUUUUAGCAGCACAGUUAAUGAACUAGCUAAGCAUCAAUAGAUGAAAUCAUAAAACCAUUAAACACCAAGAGCAAUAAUGGGAAACUGCGUCUGGUGGUAAUGAAAUUAAGUAUCUUUAUGAGGUCACUUUAUUACUUUUCUCCUCGGCUCUCUUGCCCUCCCAAGUACGUGGUGACUGCUGCUCCUAAUUGCUGUUUCACUGAAAUGCACAAUGCUCUCCAUUUGGCGUUUUAAGUUCAGUGUAUUUCUAGGGCCUUCAGGAUCAUUAAACCCUCCACCAAGAGAGUGCAAUAGAAGUUGCAGUUAUGAGAGUUUCUGGAAGUGGCCCAGUAGUACAGAAGAAUGAGGAUAGCAGAAAGGGUUGAGAAGGAGUUAAGAAAGACCUGCUGGACUUUACUGAGCCCACACUGUUGAGUCACGUGGUCAAGGUUGAGCCUAUGCAACUUUGGCACAGCCUCCAAAGCCAGGGCAAAGUCACUCACAGAGGGACUGGGUGGCUAUGGUUAUACCUGUGCUUGAACCAUGCUUUUCAGCUUGGGAGCAAGCUCAUGUGCAUGAUUUCCUUUGACCCUGUGACAAUCCCAUAUGAUACGUUUUUAUUCUCACUUUUCAGAUGAGGAAACUGAGGCUCAUAGAAUCACCCAGGUCCCGCUGCUGUGUAGAGGGCAAAGCUGGUGUGCUUUCCCCAUGCCAGAGGCCUUAAGGAUCUGGAGCCAACUCACUUGCUAGUGAUUUAAACCUUGUGCAACCAAACUCAUGGCACCAUACUUAAUGCAAUAAUUCAAGAAAUAUUCAUUGAGUAUCUACUGUAGGCUAGGGAUACAAUGAGCAAAACAGAAUCCUUCUCUAUCCUCAGGGAACUUAGGUGUAGCUGGGGAGAGUUCCACCAGCAACAACGUGCGGUGAGUUCGGUGAAUCAGAGAGAAAGCACCAUGUUACGGAAGCUGCUGGCAGGAGGCUCCGAUCAUAUCUAUGGGACAGAGAAGCCUUCCUGGAGGAAGCAAGGUUUGAGCUGAAACCUGAAGGAUAGAAGAUAAAUAGAUGAAGGAGGGGGAAGAGUGCACAGGCCAGGAGGAAGCCUGCACAAAGGCGUGGCUGACAUGUAAGAGAGAUUGGUGGCUGAGGAACUGGAUUGAUUUAGGAGGCAUCAUCAGUCGAUAAGGCUAAGGAACUGAUUCAGUUGUGGGGCUCAUGGAGAGACAGGAGUUGGGAAUCUGCACUCCCCGCCCCAACCCCAGUUCCUGGCAUGGUCACCUGUAGGGUGGCAGUGCAUUUACUGAGACAGGGGGUGCUGUGGAGGAGCCUAACGGUGGAAGUGAGGUUGGGAGAAGAUAAUGAACGAUUAUCUUAUCUAUGGUGAUGAAAAUGAGCCCUAAAAGGCAGUUCAGCUGACCCAACUUUGUUAUGAUCUCAGGGUCGAGAACUGAAUUAAAACCCCAAUGUAGACAUGGUGUUAAUUAUUUCACUGAGGCCACCGAUUAAGGCUGUAAACACUGAGUUUGUUUCUACCCUACUGAGAAAUCGAAAGGACAGAGUGAAGCUUCAACAUGAUCGUCACCAACUGGAACAAUCAGGCUAAACAUGAUGAAAUGUAACAGGGAUAAAUUUAAAUUACACUCCUUAGGUUCGCAAAAUCAGUUGUUUCUGUAAAGGAUGAAAAACCUGACUUAACAGCAGCUCAUGUCAACAGAACCUAAUAGAGUCAGUUGGCUAUGAAUUCCACACAAGCUGACGUGGUGCUGUGGCUGCCCCUUUGUAAGGAACAUGGCUGUGCUGCAGCCAAGCAAGGAUAGGCCAAGGUAAACAUCCUGCGUGACUCAGUCAAUUUGUAGUGCAGGAGCAUAGCUCCACUUGUUGUAUAAUCACAGCCAUGUAGCCAUAAUAUGGGAAGGCUCAUAACUUGGCUUGGAGCCACUAUCGUCUGUAAAAGGUGUAAUUGCCCUGCUGACACUGUACAGGCAUGCUCGUGCCCAGAGAAAGACAGAGAAAGCCAGAGCUGUCCGUUUUGUAAAUGGACGAGGGGGAGCCAGGACACAGCUUGGCUCGCUUGUGCCCAUAGGGCAAGAGUUAAGCUGUUUACCCUGAAGGGACUGCUGGUUGUGUAGCUGUAUGUGGGAGCCGCUGCAGCAAGCAGCCGAGACAGAGACAGACAGUGUAAGAGAGCUGCUGAAUAAAGUUACAUUUCACCUACUUAUGGCUCCCUAAGUGUUCCUCCUAUCCAUCUGCCAUUCAUCCACCAACUCCCUUCAGACCUCAGCAUGAGCUGGAACCUGACCUUAAACUUAACAACCUUCUUCCACUUCUAAUGCCCCCUUGAUGUAUGAGAUGUUGGAGAGGAACCCAUGAAACUUCUCUGAUAAGGAUAGAGAAGAACCUGUAAGAAAAGUGCAGCAGCCAAGGAGAGAGGCCAGCUCAAAGAGAUGUCUGUAAGGAAGUCAGGGCUGGCUUAUAGGCUCGAGUGUUGGGGAGCUGCAUGCCGUGUGAUUGGAGGGUGUCUCUAACAAAAUACCUGAAAAAAAACAAACAGAGGCAAGGGGCAUAAUUCUGAGCUAACCAGGGGGCCUCAGAGAGAGGGAUUUGUUAGGGCUAGGAGAAGAAGGAAGGAUGCACCAAGGAAAUGAUAAAGGAUGAAGCAUUGCAGAAAAGCCGGUUGCUGUAUUAAUUCAUGUCAGUCAUGUGUUUGAGCUCUGAUUUUGUGUAUAGCCCUGUGCUGUGGGAAAUGCUGUGAAACAACAGCCACAGAAUCAACAGCGCUGACUGGUAUGGCUCAGAUGACCAGUGCUAUUCAGAGGAUGGUGAGGGGUCACCAGGGAAGAAGCCAUGGAGGAGCUGCUUGAGCAGUCCCUUGAUGGAAGGGGCUGGGGAAGAUGUCACUGCAGGGCGUGAGCUGGGCAAGGUGAAGAAAUCAGCUGACUGGAGUCUUCAGAAAUGGGGUGGAAUAGGUAAGGGAAAGCCCAGAUCUGGGCGUGGUUUGUGGGCCAGGGAGGAGCUGAGAUGGGUAGAAGCUGUGGAGGUGAGCUCUUCCCUGGGGAAUACAGAGUUCAUGGAAGGGUCUCCUGGCUCCUGGCUGGUGAAGCUGAAUUGAAUGAUAACCCUGAACCUAUAACUUUCCUUUUGAUUGUUUUCUCUCAUCAUAGUGUGUGCCCUGUGUUGUUGACGACCCUUGUGUUGUGCUGAUAAUUCAUCACAGAGGUGAGUGCCCAGAGAACAGUGAGGAGGGAAGCCCAGAGGCAAGGUUUUGCGGGGAGAAACCCCAGUGCUUUAUUAUGAGAAACCAAAUGAAUGAGAUAGGGAUGAGCAGGUGAUAUCUAAAUUGUAUACAGUCCCCUUCUUCCUUCUUUUCUUCCUUUCUUUCUUCCCUGGUAUGGUUUGAAUGCAUCCCCCCAGAGUCAUAUGUUAGGUACUCCCCAAGGCAAGUGUUGUGAGGUGGGACCUAAUGGGAGGUGUUUAGGUCAUGAGGGCUCUACCCUCAUGAAUGGAUUAAUGCUGCCAUAUAAGGGGUUUCUGGGAGUGGGCUCUCUGUCUUGUCCUGCCUUCCAUCAUGUGAGGACACAACGUGCAAGGCACCAUCGUGGAAGAACAGAAUAUCUUCAUCAGACAUCAAACCUGCUGAUGCCUUGACCUCAGACUUCCCAGCCUUCAGAACUGCUACUCAACGUGAAGACUUGAGGAUGGAGACCUUUAUGAUGAUCCACUUCCACUUAAUGAAUAACCCAAUUUAUCUUCAGGCUGGGAAAAGAAAAGGAAGGCCUGAUGAAAAGUAUGUAUUUGGCUUUGUUUACAUUAAUGAAGUGAUUGGACAGAAAAAGUUACAAUGACUUUUUUCUUUUGUGAAAAAAAUUAUUGGGAAUGGAAUUUUGAAGUCAGGAAGACUGAAAGAGGACCCACCGUUGUCUAUCUGGAAGAUGUAUCCAAAAUGCCCAGGAGUUUUGUGUGCAUGUGUAUGAAGGAAGUUCAAUUAGAAAAAGCUUGCAGCUUGGGCAAUACAGCAAGAUCUCGAUUCUAAAAAUUUUUUAAAAAAUUAGCUGGGUGUGAUGGUGUGGCACCUGUGG
Cercocebus atys (sooty mangabey) is the source of this 5371-nucleotide long non-coding RNA. RefSeq lists it as uncharacterized. The record is from RefSeq and is a predicted model, not a curated record. Lineage: Eukaryota; Metazoa; Chordata; Mammalia; Primates; Cercopithecidae. The transcript is spliced from 3 exons.